UCUACAGCUUAAUAAAUUUUAAGUAAAAUAUAUAAUAGCAAGAACUCUUGGAUGGUAGGAAGCCUAAAGUUUGCUUCCUGAGGUCUGCUUCUCAGCCGGGGCUGGUGGCGCAGCCCUGUAAUCCGGCGACGCGGAGGCUUGGCCCCUGGACGGCUUGAGGCGAGGAGCACUGCUGCGGGACUCUCCUAUGUUGAGUGGGCGUCCGCACUAAGCUCGGCAUCAACAUGGCCGACCCUGGGGAACCGGGGGCGUCCAGGUUGUCUAAGGAGGUGUGCACCGGGCCAGGGGGGAAACCCAGCAGCCAAAA
This is a long non-coding RNA of Eriocheir sinensis (Chinese mitten crab), 307 nucleotides long. RefSeq lists it as uncharacterized. Lineage: Eukaryota; Metazoa; Arthropoda; Malacostraca; Decapoda; Varunidae. The record is from RefSeq and is a predicted model, not a curated record. The transcript is spliced from 2 exons.